This 1851-nucleotide ribosomal RNA is filed under the name Escherichia coli. Its description in RNAcentral is "partial 23S ribosomal RNA". It matches the Rfam family "Bacterial large subunit ribosomal RNA", at positions 884 to 2717 of the family's 2925-position model. The record is from RNAcentral. Lineage: Bacteria; Pseudomonadati; Pseudomonadota; Gammaproteobacteria; Enterobacterales; Enterobacteriaceae.
GUGAAUUCAUCUCCGGGGGUAGAGCACUGUUUCGGCAAGGGGGUCAUCCCGACUUACCAACCCGAUGCAAACUGCGAAUACCGGAGAAUGUUAUCACGGGAGACACACGGCGGGUGCUAACGUCCGUCGUGAAGAGGGAAACAACCCAGACCGCCAGCUAAGGUCCCAAAGUCAUGGUUAAGUGGGAAACGAUGUGGGAAGGCCCAGACAGCCAGGAUGUUGGCUUAGAAGCAGCCAUCAUUUAAAGAAAGCGUAAUAGCUCACUGGUCGAGUCGGCCUGCGCGGAAGAUGUAACGGGGCUAAACCAUGCACCGAAGCUGCGGCAGCGACGCUGAUGCGUUGUUGGGUAGGGGAGCGUUCUGUAAGCCUGUGAAGGUGUGCUGUGAGGCAUGCUGGAGGUAUCAGAAGUGCGAAUGCUGACAUAAGUAACGAUAAAGCGGGUGAAAAGCCCGCUCGCCGGAAGACCAAGGGUUCCUGUCCAACGUUAAUCGGGGCAGGGUGAGUCGACCCCUAAGGCGAGGCCGAAAGGCGUAGUCGAUGGGAAACAGGUUAAUAUUCCUGUACUUGGUGUUACUGCGAAGGGGGGACGGAGAAGGCUAUGUUGGCCGGGCGACGGUUGUCCCGGUUUAAGCGUGUAGGCUGGUUUUCCAGGCAAAUCCGGAAAACUAAGGCUGAGGCGUGAUGACGAGGCACUACGGUGCUGAAGCAACAAAUGCCCUGCUUCCAGGAAAAGCCUCUAAGCAUCAGGUAACAUCAAAUCGUACCCCAAACCGACACAGGUGGUCAGGUAGAGAAUACCAAGGCGCUUGAGAGAACUCGGGUGAAGGAACUAGGCAAAAUGGUGCCGUAACUUCGGGAGAAGGCACGCUGAUAUGUAGGUGAAGUCCCUCGCGGAUGGAGCUGAAAUCAGUCGAAGAUACCAGCUGGCUGCAACUGUUUAUUAAAAACACAGCACUGUGCAAACACGAAAGUGGACGUAUACGGUGUGACGCCUGCCCGGUGCCGGAAGGUUAAUUGAUGGGGUCAGCGCAAGCGAAGCUCUUGAUCGAAGCCCCGGUAAACGGCGGCCGUAACUAUAACGGUCCUAAGGUAGCGAAAUUCCUUGUCGGGUAAGUUCCGACCUGCACGAAUGGCGUAAUGAUGGCCAGGCUGUCUCCACCCGAGACUCAGUGAAAUUGAACUCGCUGUGAAGAUGCAGUGUACCCGCGGCAAGACGGAAAGACCCCGUGAACCUUUACUAUAGCUUGACACUGAACAUUGAGCCUUGAUGUGUAGGAUAGGUGGGAGGCUUUGAAGUGUGGACGCCAGUCUGCAUGGAGCCGACCUUGAAAUACCACCCUUUAAUGUUUGAUGUUCUAACGUUGACCCGUAAUCCGGGUUGCGGACAGUGUCUGGUGGGUAGUUUGACUGGGGCGGUCUCCUCCUAAAGAGUAACGGAGGAGCACGAAGGUUGGCUAAUCCUGGUCGGACAUCAGGAGGUUAGUGCAAUGGCAUAAGCCAGCUUGACUGCGAGCGUGACGGCGCGAGCAGGUGCGAAAGCAGGUCAUAGUGAUCCGGUGGUUCUGAAUGGAAGGGCCAUCGCUCAACGGAUAAAAGGUACUCCGGGGAUAACAGGCUGAUACCGCCCAAGAGUUCAUAUCGACGGCGGUGUUUGGCACCUCGAUGUCGGCUCAUCACAUCCUGGGGCUGAAGUAGGUCCCAAGGGUAUGGCUGUUCGCCAUUUAAAGUGGUACGCGAGCUGGGUUUAGAACGUCGUGAGACAGUUCGGUCCCUAUCUGCCGUGGGCGCUGGAGAACUGAGGGGGGCUGCUCCUAGUACGAGAGGACCGGAGUGGACGCAUCACUGGUGUUC